CAAUUUGCUCAGGCACAUUUCUGGUUUGCCAAACCAUAGUAUGAUUUAUGACCACGGUCAUACCAACCAUAGUGAUCUUAUCAGAUAUUCUAUAGUCACGAUAGUACUUAGCCAAGGGUGACCCCUAACAGAUAUUCGCAUCACCACUCUCGUCAGAGGGUAUGCUGUCAUCCACAGGGAGCGGUCCUCUUAUGUCUUUCAGACCAUAUAGGGUAGGAAAAACAGAUAGCCUUGAUGGGGUUAGGGGAAUAGAUAUCCCUCAGAGAUAAAAAGCCUAACGAGACACUUGAUGCAUUAUGCAUGUCAAUACAGAUACAUACUUCGGACCAUUCAUGCUUCAUUCCACAUUUC
This 351-nucleotide long non-coding RNA is filed under the name Carica papaya (papaya). RNAcentral describes it as "long non-coding RNA (CPAP_LNC011011)". Lineage: Eukaryota; Viridiplantae; Streptophyta; Magnoliopsida; Brassicales; Caricaceae. The record is from RNAcentral.